AGCGAAUUAAAAAAACUGCUAAAUAGAUUCAAAAUUUUGUCCUGAGUUUAAAAAUACCCCGUGUUUACAUGCUUUUUUGCUUUUUUUUUUGCAUGUUAUAGGGCUAUAGGUACAAGUAGAAUAUUGCGGUUUCAAAACAUAAAUUUUUUAAAUUUAUCAAUAGUGACAUUGUAACACUAUUAUCUGUCAUAAAUCUCUGAAUAACAC
Non-coding RNA from Pelobates cultripes (western spadefoot toad), 207 nucleotides. NCBI's taxonomy places the organism in Eukaryota, Metazoa, Chordata, Amphibia, Anura, Pelobatidae. The record is from the annotation of a GenBank genome assembly.